Solanum tuberosum (potato) is the source of this 460-nucleotide long non-coding RNA. RefSeq lists it as uncharacterized. The transcript has 2 exons. The record is from RefSeq and is a predicted model, not a curated record. NCBI's taxonomy places the organism in Eukaryota, Viridiplantae, Streptophyta, Magnoliopsida, Solanales, Solanaceae.
UAUUUUUUAUUCUUUUAAUUUGCUUAUAUCAUAUGAACUCUCCAAUUUUUCCUUUUUGUGUCUACUAAAAUUUCUUAAACUCUUACUUUCCAUUUUUAUUUAUGUGAGUUUUGGGAUUUGUAAUUAAAAGGAAAAUACAAGAAAAGUUCAAUCGAAGUAGUUUGGAUACUAGACAAGGAAUAUACCAUAUUAUAAAAAGAGAAGAUGCAUGUACUAGUGAUAUCAUUGCCUUUGGCUAUAUUGGUAUUGAUUUUAAUAGCCAUUGCUUGUUACUUCUUUGGAAGAUCAAGGGGUAGAUGGUGAUUAUAUAAUUAUUCAAAUAAUUCCUCAUAAUAAAAUAAAUAAAAUGGAACGCUUUAAUUUUGUUUAAAGAACUUUUUAUAUCUUGUUGUAUCAUGUAUGUUUCUUGAUUUUGUAUUUUUAUUAGAAUGAAAUAUCACUUUUAAGUUGUGUUAUAUGA